AUUCACAUGGGGUGAAUUUUAUGCGGAAAUCCAACCGCGUACGGCCUAGAACGCCGUUGUUUCUUAAGGAGAAAAAAAUG
RNAcentral lists this non-coding RNA (80 nucleotides) under unclassified sequences. RNAcentral's name for it is "freshwater-2 RNA". It matches the Rfam family "freshwater-2 RNA". Rfam says of the family: Aquatic, esp. fresh water. No recognized genes The record is from RNAcentral.